RNAcentral lists this unclassified non-coding RNA (637 nucleotides) under Hevea brasiliensis (rubber tree). Lineage: Eukaryota; Viridiplantae; Streptophyta; Magnoliopsida; Malpighiales; Euphorbiaceae. The record is from RNAcentral.
UCAUCAACCAUACAAGACCUCAAAAAAAACUAUUGCAAAACAAUUACAAAUUCAAAUGCUUGCUUCUGCAAUUAUCAUAGAUCAACAAAGAAAAGUACAAUUCAAAACAAGCACAAGAAUUACCAAAAAGUGUGUAGCUAUGUCCUCUUCUUGCGAAAUAUAUACACGUCGGUCUCUUCGUACGCGUAUUCCGGAUGCAAAUCCUCGUGCGGGACCUUCUCGAUGUCAAAAACCUCUCUGGACAUUUCCCAAAACUUCUUAUCCGCCUCCGGCGACCUCAAUUGAUAUCCUAAGAGAACGACACCGUCGUCCGCCACCAGCGCUUCCAUCGCACCCACGAGCUGCCCCACAGACUCCUCAAUAUAAACCACAUCGGUGGCAAUCACGACAUCGAACGGCGGAUUCAACGCCUUGAUCUGAUCCUGAUUGUUCCAGUAGAGGAUGGAGGUCUUCAGCAUCUUUCCUAGGGUUUGCUUGUUCCGCUUCAGAUUAUGCUUCAGAGCGGUCAUGACCGGCGCAAUAUCGGUGAGGACGAGGUCAGUAAGACCGAGGAGGUAGAAUGCCAUGCCCGCGGCACCGCAGCCAACGCCGAGCUCGAUUGCGCGGCGGGGCUUGGAGCGGAAGUCGAGGAGGGCGG